RNAcentral lists this ribosomal RNA (484 nucleotides) under uncultured bacterium. RNAcentral's name for it is "partial 16S ribosomal RNA". It matches the Rfam family "Bacterial small subunit ribosomal RNA", at positions 30 to 507 of the family's 1533-position model. The record is from RNAcentral.
AUUGAACGCUGGCGGCAGGCCUAACACAUGCAAGUCGAGCGGAUGAAGGGAGCUUGCUCCUGGAUUCAGCGGCGGACGGGUGAGUAAUGCCUAGGAAUCUGCCUGGUAGUGGGGGAUAACGUCCGGAAACGGGCGCUAAUACCGCAUACGUCCUGAGGGAGCAAGUGGGGGAUCUUCGGACCUCACGCUAUCAGAUGAGCCUAGGUCGGAUUAGCUAGUUGGUGGGGUAAAGGCCUACCAAGGCGACGAUCCGUAACUGGUCUGAGAGGAUGAUCAGUCACACUGGAACUGAGACACGGUCCAGACUCCUACGGGAGGCAGCAGUGGGGAAUAUUGGACAGUGGGCGAAAGCCUGAUCCAGCCAUGCCGCGUGUGUGAAGAAGGUCUUCGGAUUGUAAAGCACUUUAAGUUGGGAGGAAGGGCAGUAAGUUAAUACCUUGCUGUUUUGACGUUACCAACAGAAUAAGCACCGGCUAACUUCGUG